Molecule: ribosomal RNA, 454 nt
Filed under: uncultured bacterium
Lineage: Bacteria
Description: bacterial SSU rRNA
Rfam family: Bacterial small subunit ribosomal RNA
Source: RNAcentral
UACGGGAGGCAGCAGUGGGGAAUAUUGCACAAUGGGCGCAAGCCUGAUGCAGCCAUGCCGCGUGUAUGAAGAAGGCCUUCGGGUUGUAAAGUACUUUCAGUCGUGAGGAAGGUGUUAAGGUUAAUAACCUUAGCAAUUGACGUUAGCGACAGAAGAAGCACCGGCUAACUCCGUGCCAGCAGCCGCGGUAAUACGGAGGGUGCGAGCGUUAAUCGGAAUUACUGGGCGUAAAGGGCACGCAGGCGGUUAAUUAAGUUGGAUGUGAAAUCCCCGGGCUUAACCUGGGAAUGGCAUUCAAGACUGGUUAGCUAGAGUCUUGUAGAGGGGGUAGAAUUCCAUGUGUAGCGGUGAAAUGCGUAGAGAUGUGGAGGAAUACCGGGUGGCGAAGGCGGCCCCUGGGACAAAGACUGACGCUCAUGUGCGAAAGCUGGGGAGCAAACAGGGAUUAGAUACC